This 391-nucleotide ribosomal RNA is filed under the name uncultured bacterium. RNAcentral describes it as "bacterial SSU rRNA". It matches the Rfam family "Bacterial small subunit ribosomal RNA", at positions 29 to 433 of the family's 1533-position model. The record is from RNAcentral.
AACGAACGCUGGCGGCAGGCCUAACACAUGCAAGUCGAACGCCGUAGCAAUACGGAGUGGCAGACGGGUGAGUAACGCGUGGGAACAUACCCCUCGGUUCGGAAUAACUCAGGGAAACUUGAGCUAAUACCGGAUACGUCCGAUGUUUUAAUCGACCUUGGAGAAAGAUUUAUCGCCGGAGGAUUGGCCCGCGUCUGAUUAGCUUGUUGGUGAGGUAAUGGCUCACCAAGGCGACGANCAGUAGCUGGUCUGAGAGGAUGAUCAGCCACAUUGGGACUGAGACACGGCCCAAACUCCUACGGGAGGCAGCAGUGGGGAAUAUUGGACAAUGGGCGAAAGCCUGAUCCAGCCAUGCCGCGUGAGUGAUGAAGGCCUUAGGGUUGUAAAGCUC